AUGGGUAGAUGUCACAGAUGAUUAAUUGAUUUCUUACCUAUGUAAUUAUAUUUUUAUUUUUGUUCGUACGUAAUAUAUGGAUUCAUGAAUCCGUUAUUUUCAAUUGUAUCUUUUAAGUGGUAUUUUUUGCUUCGUUUCCUAUUUUUAUCUCAAAAAAAGAAACUUAAGAAAGUGCUUUAUAAACAUAUGUAUAAUAAAGACCAUAUUUCAUCUAGUUUCCUUAUGCCCACUAUAA
RNAcentral lists this long non-coding RNA (235 nucleotides) under Cicer arietinum (chickpea). RNAcentral describes it as "long non-coding RNA (CARI_LNC000033)". Lineage: Eukaryota; Viridiplantae; Streptophyta; Magnoliopsida; Fabales; Fabaceae. The record is from RNAcentral.